GACGAACGCUGGCGGCGUGCUUAACACAUGCAAGUCGAACGGAAAGGCCCUGCUUUUGUGGGGUGCUCGAGUGGCGAACGGGUGAGUAACACGUGAGUAACCUGCCCUUGACUUUGGGAUAACUUCAGGAAACUGGGGCUAAUACCGGAUAGGAGCUCCUGCUGCAUGGUGGGGGUUGGAAAGUUUCGGCGGUUGGGGAUGGACUCGCGGCUUAUCAGCUUGUUGGUGGGGUAGUGGCUUACCAAGGCUUUGACGGGUAGCCGGCCUGAGAGGGUGACCGGCCACAUUGGGACUGAGAUACGGCCCAGACUCCUACGGGAGGCAGCAGUGGGGAAUAUUGCACAAUGGGCGGAAGCCUGAUGCAGCAACGCCGCGUGCGGGAUGACGGCCUUCGGGUUGUAAACCGCUUUCGCCUGUGACGAAGCGUGAGUGACGGUAAUGGGUAAAGAAGCACCGGCUAACUACGUGCCAGCAGCCGCGGUGAUACGUAGGGUGCGAGCGUUGUCCGGAUUUAUUGGGCGUAAAGGGCUCGUAGGUGGUUGAUCGCGUCGGAAGUGUAAUCUUGGGGCUUAACCCUGAGCGUGCUUUCGAUACGGGUUGACUUGAGGAAGGCAGGGGAGAAUGGAAUUCCUGGUGGAGCGGUGGAAUGCGCAGAUAUCAGGAGGAACACCAGUGGCGAAGGCGGUUCUCUGGGCCUUUCCUGACGCUGAGGAGCGAAAGCGUGGGGAGCGAACAGGCUUAGAUACCCUGGUAGUCCACGCUGUAAACGGUGGGUACUAGGUGUGGGGUCCAUUCCACGGGUUCCGUGCCGUAGCUAACGCUUUAAGUACCCCGCCUGGGGAGUACGGCCGCAAGGCUAAAACUCAAAGGAAUUGACGGGGCCCCGCACAAGCGGCGGAGCAUGCGGAUUAAUUCGAUGCAACGCGUAGAACCUUACCUGGGUUUGACAUGGAUCGGGAGCGCUCAGAGAUGGGUGUGCCUCUUUUGGGGUCGGUUCACAGGUGGUGCAUGGCUGUCGUCAGCUCGUGUCGUGAGAUGUUGGGUUAAGUCCCGCAACGAGCGCAACCCUUGUUCACUGUUGCCAGCACGUUAUGGUGGGGACUCAGUGGAGACCGCCGGGGUCAACUCGGAGGAAGGUGGGGAUGACGUCAAGUCAUCAUGCCCCUUAUGUCCAGGGCUUCACGCAUGCUACAAUGGCUGGUACAGAGAGUGGCGAGCCUGUGAGGGUGAGCGAAUCUCGGAAAGCCGGUCUCAGUUCGGAUUGGGGUCUGCAACUCGACCUCAUGAAGUCGGAGUCGCUAGUAAUCGCAGAUCAGCAACGCUGCGGUGAAUACGUUCCCGGGGCU
RNAcentral lists this ribosomal RNA (1346 nucleotides) under uncultured bacterium. Its description in RNAcentral is "bacterial SSU rRNA". It matches the Rfam family "Bacterial small subunit ribosomal RNA", at positions 28 to 1381 of the family's 1533-position model. The record is from RNAcentral.